CUACCUCUAGAGGUUCCAAGGUUCCUAUCCUAGGAUAAAUCACCUAAGAUAAACCUCUUAGAUUCUUAAGAAAAAACGUCCAGAAUAAACUUCCUAGGUUUUAAGAUCCAUAGGAUCUUUAGAUUUUAGGACAAACCCCCCAAGAUUCUAAGGUUCCUAAAAUACUAGGAUUCUAGGACAAAACACCUAGGAUAAACUUCCUAAAUUCAAAGGACAAACUACUUAGGAUAAACCUCCUAACUUCUAAGGUUCCCAUAAUCCUAGGAUCCUAGAAAAAACAACAUUUGAUUAAAACACUUCCCCCUUUAAUCCAAAGACAAGGUUGCAUGCCCAUAUGUCACUCAACAUAAGUAUAAGAAGAUAAGUGCCACCAAGUAUCACAAAAACAACGACACUUGUCAUCAAAAUAGUUAGGACUAAUUUAAAUCAAUUUUACUUAUAAAUAUGCAUUCUAUUCUCUCUUAAAGGUAAGAAAAAAAUAACUCAAGAGGGGAAGUGCUGAUUUUCUCUCUAUAGAAUUUCUCUCUCUAAAUUUAUAUUUCUCAAAAUUCAGUGACUGAUAUGAUUGUUGGAGGGUUUACACUAGUAAAACCACCCCUUUGGUCGUUUUCUUAUAUUUGUAGAACAUUAUUUGACAAAGUCAUCUUCAUUCCCUAAGGAAGUGAAAUCCUAGGAGAAAAUUCAUAGGCCUAUUAAGAUUAGCCCAAAUGAGAAACUUGUCAUCUAAUCUAAAAAAAAGGAAGCCCAGUCCUACAAAGAUCAUCGUGGAUUGAAAUUACGACAUAAUAAGUUACGAUAAAAUUUGCACUAACAAUUCUUAUAAUAGUAAUAACCUUUUUUUUUGGUUCGCAAAUAUAUGGUUAUACUUCUCAAGUUAUUACUAAUAAAUAUAUCCUAAAUUUUAGGUUUUAACUUAUAAGACACAAUGUAACAAAAGUUUUGAGAAAUAUAUAAAAAAAAAAUACUAAUGAAACAUUUAUGACCAACGAAAAUGUUGUCCUAAUUUGUAUACAACAUUACAGUUGCAAGGCAGUAUUUUUCUUAAACAUUUCGAGUCUCGAUACCUUGUAUUCUUACAUGUUUUAAGUUUGUUAUGUAAAAAUUGAGUAUAACUAUUUGAUUAUUUAAUCUGUCAUGUUAGUCGUUAGACUCAAGUUUAUUUAGCGUAUAUACUAAGGGUAAUUCUUCAUCUUUGUUGCAUAAUCACAAAAAUGUAAAACUAUAUGAGGGNNN
RNAcentral lists this long non-coding RNA (1233 nucleotides) under Citrus x clementina. RNAcentral's name for it is "Citrus clementina (C. clementina) long non-coding RNA (CCLE_LNC000915)". The record is from RNAcentral. Lineage: Eukaryota; Viridiplantae; Streptophyta; Magnoliopsida; Sapindales; Rutaceae.